AGCAGUAUGAUUUCGUUGUUGUUCAGUUGUACUUUAAAAUGAACGUCAAAUUCUUUUUCAUUUUAUUUUCUAUUAUUUUUGGAGCAGUUCUAAUUUUUGGAGACACUGAUCCAAACUGUACUCCUACAGAAGAAUGUAAAACAAAUGAAACGUACACUUGUUCAGGGGGUGCUUGUGAACCAACUUGUGCAGAUCAGAAUCUAGAAUGCUGUAAACAAAAUAUCUGGGCCUACCAUGGUUGCCGAUGUACAAAAGGUUAUUUAAGUCUCUCCAAUGGCCAGUGUGUUUUGAAGAGUUGCCCUGAAUGCCAAAAAGAAGCUAAGCCAAAAUGCACCUGUUCCGAUUUCAACAAGGGCUUGUGCCAAAUGUAAAUUGAAGUUUAUAAAUCCAUAAUUAAGAAUAUGUUGAAAAAGUGUGAAUUUGAUUAUUGUUAUCACGAUAAAUUAAAUUAUUUCAACCACACAGCAUGCAUAGAUUCAAUCAUUGUUGUAACUUUAUUUUAACUUUAAAUAAAUAAUAAAGAGAUAAAUCAACUGUACUUCAUGAGCUGAA
Molecule: long non-coding RNA, 552 nt
Organism: Contarinia nasturtii (swede midge)
Lineage: Eukaryota; Metazoa; Arthropoda; Insecta; Diptera; Cecidomyiidae
Exons: 3
Source: RefSeq, a predicted model, not a curated record